This is a long non-coding RNA of Xiphophorus hellerii (green swordtail), 885 nucleotides long. RefSeq lists it as uncharacterized. The record is from RefSeq and is a predicted model, not a curated record. Lineage: Eukaryota; Metazoa; Chordata; Actinopteri; Cyprinodontiformes; Poeciliidae. The transcript has 3 exons.
GGAAAGAGUUUGCUGUUGCAAACCUGAAUAAAAAUGAUCCAGAAAACCAAAAGAAAGAACUGGAAAAGCAGAUGGAAAGGUUCAAGACCACGCUGAAGAAAGAAAAUCUGACUCCUGAAGACUUGGCCAAGGCAGAACUAUCUAUUAUUCAGUUUGCACAACAACAGAAAUUUACAACUGAAAUAGCUUUAAUCACUAGUGGCCUUAAAACAGUAUCCAAGAGAAGUUCUCUAUACAAACUUGACCCAGUAUUGGAUGCUGGGGUCCUCAGAGUGGGUGGCAGGUUGAAUAAAGCAGCCAUGCCUGUAGAAGCAAAGCAUCCUGUAAUUUUGACAAAGGAUAUGUAUAUGUCUACCCUCAUUUUACACCAUAUUCAUCAACAGUUGGGACAUGCAGGAAGAGCUCAUAUGCUGUCAAGACGUAACAGAGGAAAGUUUAUUGAACAAAAGAUGGCAGAUCUGCCAGAAGAAAGGGUUCUGCCAGCCACCGCUCCUUUCACAAAUGUUGGAGUGGAUUAUUUUGGUCCUAUAAGUGUUAAAAGAGGACGAAGUCUCCUGAAAAGUUCGCAGGUUCAUCUGUAGAAGAGGCCCAGUUUCCACCAUCAGAUCUGAUAAUGCCACAAAUUUUGUUGGUGCAAAUCGAGAGCUGAAAGAGAGUUUGGCUGAACUGAACCAUGCUAAAAUUCAAAAUGCUUUUGUGCAGGAUGGAAUCAAAUGGAACUUUAACAUCCCAGCAGCCUCUCACCAAGGUGGAGUUUGGGAGCGUCUGAUUCGUUCCAUAAGAAGCAUUUUAGUCUCAGUUCUUAAAGAACAAGUUUUGGAUGAUGAAGGACUUCAAACAAUCUUUUGUGAAGUUGAAGCCAUAUUAAACGACAGACCUAUUACC